Molecule: ribosomal RNA, 253 nt
Filed under: uncultured bacterium
Lineage: Bacteria
Description: partial 16S ribosomal RNA
Rfam family: Bacterial small subunit ribosomal RNA
Source: RNAcentral
UACGAAGGGGGCUAGCGUUGCUCGGAAUCACUGGGCGUAAAGGGUGCGUAGGCGGGUCUUUAAGUCAGGGGUGAAAUCCUGGAGCUCAACUCCAGAACUGCCUUUGAUACUGAGGAUCUUGAGCUCGGGAGAGGUGAGUGGAACUGCGAGUGUAGAGGUGAAAUUCGUAGAUAUUCGCAAGAACACCAGUGGCGAAGGCGGUCUCCUGGAGCAGACUUGACGCUGAGGCGCGAAAGCUGGGGGAGCGAACGGG